AUUGAACGCUGGCGGCAGGCCUAACACAUGCAAGUCGAGCGGAAACGAGUUAUCUGAACCUUCGGGGAACGAUAACGGCGUCGAGCGGCGGACGGGUGAGUAAUGCCUAGGAAAUUGCCCUGAUGUGGGGGAUAACCAUUGGAAACGAUGGCUAAUACCGCAUGAUGCCUACGGGCCAAAGAGGGGGACCUUCGGGCCUCUCGCGUCAGGAUAUGCCUAGGUGGGAUUAGCUAGUUGGUGAGGUAAGGGCUCACCAAGGCGACGAUCCCUAGCUGGUCUGAGAGGAUGAUCAGCCACACUGGAACUGAGACACGGUCCAGACUCCUACGGGAGGCAGCAGUGGGGAAUAUUGCACAAUGGGCGCAAGCCUGAUGCAGCCAUGCCGCGUGUGUGAAGAAGGCCUUCGGGUUGUAAAGCACUUUCAGUCGUGAGGAAGGUAGUGUAGUUAAUAGCUGCAUUAUUUGACGUUAGCGACAGAAGAAGCACCGGCUAACUCCGUGCCAGCAGCCGCGGUAAUACGGAGGGUGCGAGCGUUAAUCGGAAUUACUGGGCGUAAAGCGCAUGCAGGUGGUUUGUUAAGUCAGAUGUGAAAGCCCGGGGCUCAACCUCGGAAUAGCAUUUGAAACUGGCAGACUAGAGUACUGUAGAGGGGGGUAGAAUUUCAGGUGUAGCGGUGAAAUGCGUAGAGAUCUGAAGGAAUACCGGUGGCGAAGGCGGCCCCCUGGACAGAUACUGACACUCAGAUGCGAAAGCGUGGGGAGCAAACAGGAUUAGAUACCCUGGUAGUCCACGCCGUAAACGAUGUCUACUUGGAGGUUGUGGCCUUGAGCCGUGGCUUUCGGAGCUAACGCGUUAAGUAGACCGCCUGGGGAGUACGGUCGCAAGAUUAAAACUCAAAUGAAUUGACGGGGGCCCGCACAAGCGGUGGAGCAUGUGGUUUAAUUCGAUGCAACGCGAAGAACCUUACCUACUCUUGACAUCCAGAGAACUUUCCAGAGAUGGAUUGGUGCCUUCGGGAACUCUGAGACAGGUGCUGCAUGGCUGUCGUCAGCUCGUGUUGUGAAAUGUUGGGUUAAGUCCCGCAACGAGCGCAACCCUUAUCCUUGUUUGCCAGCGAGUAAUGUCGGGAACUCCAGGGAGACUGCCGGUGAUAAACCGGAGGAAGGUGGGGACGACGUCAAGUCAUCAUGGCCCUUACGAGUAGGGCUACACACGUGCUACAAUGGCGCAUACAGAGGGCGGCCAACUUGCGAAAGUGAGCGAAUCCCAAAAAGUGCGUCGUAGUCCGGAUUGGAGUCUGCAACUCGACUCCAUGAAGUCGGAAUCGCUAGUAAUCGUGGAUCAGAAUGCCACGGUGAAUACGUUCCCGGGCCUUGUACACACCGCCCGUCACACCAUGGGAGUGGGCUGCAAAAGAAGUAGGUAGUUUAACCUUCGGGGGGACGCUUACCACUU
This 1455-nucleotide ribosomal RNA is filed under the name bacterium CWISO9. Its description in RNAcentral is "bacterial SSU rRNA". It matches the Rfam family "Bacterial small subunit ribosomal RNA". The record is from RNAcentral.